This 546-nucleotide long non-coding RNA is filed under the name Melopsittacus undulatus (budgerigar). RNAcentral describes it as "lncRNA (ENSMUNG00000020827.1)". The record is from RNAcentral. Lineage: Eukaryota; Metazoa; Chordata; Aves; Psittaciformes; Psittaculidae.
CUCCCAUUGGCUGCGCCGCCGCCGGAAGUGACGCCGCGCGGGGCGGGCGGGCCGGAAGGAGUUGGGCGGAGCCUCGCCUGAGGUGACGCCGCCAUCUUGGCCUGCGCCCAUGGCCGCUAACGGGGACCAACGGGCACCGGAUUGGACCGGAAGUCUGGAGCCUGCGGCCCACGAGAACCCCGAGUGGGAGAAGGCCCGAAGAGCCCUAGAGAGUAUCGGGAAAGGGGGCGGGGCCAAAGGGGGCGGGGCUCAGUACUCCUCAUCACAGGGGGACCCCAACCUGCAGCAGACCCCCUACUACCAAUGGUACCAGCCCUAUAGCAGCUACUACCCCUAUGGCUACUACUACCCUAUGGGGGUUUACUCCGGUUAUGGGGCCACGACGACGCAGACAACGGCAGCCUAUGGGGCAGGGGGGGGCUAUGCUGCUGCCCCACAGCAGGCCCCACAGCAGAGCGGCCUGGGGCAGGUGAGGGGGGACCCACAUAUUGCACUAUGGGGGGGACCCAUAUAUCACAUUAUGGGGGGGUCCCACACAUUACAUUG